UCUCUCUCUCUUAUCUAUCAUGGCUGGAGGUAGUGCGUCUGUGUUUUCACAAGCAGCCCGUCCACGAGGAGCUCCUCACUCAAUGUCAGCUGGGAUUGACUGCAGCGCCAUGUGACAUGUGACCCUGUUCAGGAUAAGUGGUCGCCGAUGAAUGAACAAAUGAACUUCAAGUCCUCCUCCUGCUGUUCUCUUGUGACAAGAGUGCUGUUUUGUGUGUCUAUUUUAGAACCUGGCCCGGAUCAAACCUUCAAGCAGAACAUCUCACUUGAAUCAUGCCCGUUUUGUGCUGUUGAUGGAGAUCUGUUGAGAGCUUCACACGUCGGGGGCUAACAAGAACGGCUGCCUUCUAUUAAUUCCUCCCCCUCCCUGCUCUCCGCCAGCCUAUGGCCUGCGACUCUGUCUUUAGUAGCAUGUGCUCGCCACUGUCACCAGAUUAGCACGUCGGUUCAAAGCCCGGCUCACAAAGACAGUGUGUACAGAACACAGCCUGUGCUAAUACUGCUUCCCUCUGUUCUAACCUGCAAGCCUCCAACUCUCCAGUAAUUCCCCAGCCCUCCAUAAAAGCAGACCUGGGUCAGAUAAAACAACAAGUGCAUCAGUCAGCAAGACUGCGGUGUAGGGGCCACUUGGGGCCCUUUGUCUGCAUCGAUUCAGUUGUAACAAGGAGCAGUCUAGACAGCCUGUGGGGAAAAAAACAGAUUUGGACACUGUUGUUUUGGACAUUUCCCAAGCCCUUGCACCUCAGGGUAAUGAGCAGAAUAAGGUCACCGAUGAGUCUUCACUUCGGAGCAACUCUUCCUCCUUCGCGUCAAGACGAACCGAUACGUGAUGGUUCGGUCGUCACCGUCAGGAUUCUUAU
Synchiropus splendidus (mandarinfish) is the source of this 859-nucleotide long non-coding RNA. RefSeq lists it as uncharacterized. The transcript has 4 exons. NCBI's taxonomy places the organism in Eukaryota, Metazoa, Chordata, Actinopteri, Syngnathiformes, Callionymidae. The record is from RefSeq and is a predicted model, not a curated record.